Molecule: ribosomal RNA, 253 nt
Filed under: uncultured bacterium
Lineage: Bacteria
Description: partial 16S ribosomal RNA
Rfam family: Bacterial small subunit ribosomal RNA
Source: RNAcentral
UACGUAGGGGGCAAGCGUUGUCCGGAUUCAUUGGGCGUAAAGAGCGUGUAGGCGGCCAGGUAGGUCGGUUGUGAAAACUGGAGGCUCAACCUUCAGACGUCGACCGAAACCAUCUGGCUAGAGUCCGGGAGAGGCGAGUGGAAUUCCCGGUGUAGCGGUGAAAUGCGCAGAUAUCGGGAGGAACACCAAUGGCGAAGGCAGCUCGCUGGGACGGUACUGACGCUGAGACGCGAAAGCGUGGGGAGCAAACAGG